GUUAGGAAUAUUGGACAAUGGGCGAAAGCCUGAUCCAGCCAUGCCGCGUGAACGAUGAAGGCCUUCGGGUUGUAAAGUUCUUUAGUCGAUGAUUAUAAUGACUGUAGUCGGAAAAUAAGCCCCGGCUAACUUCGUGCCAGCAGCCGCGGUAAUACGAAGGGGGCGAGAGUUAUUCGGAAUCACUGGGCGUAAAGCGUGCGUAGGCGGUUUUGUAAGUUAGGAGUGAAAGCCCAGGGCUCAACCUUGGAAUUGCUCUUAAAACUGCAAGGCUCGAAUCUCGGUGAGGAUAGCGGAAUUUCCAGUGUAGCAGUGAAAUGCGUAGAUAUUGGAAGGAACACCAGUGGCAUGAGCGGCUAUCUGGACGAGUAUUAACGCUGAGGCACGAAAGCGUGGGGAUCAAACAGGAUUAGAUACCCUGGUAGUCC
This 425-nucleotide ribosomal RNA is filed under the name uncultured bacterium. Its description in RNAcentral is "partial 16S ribosomal RNA". It matches the Rfam family "Bacterial small subunit ribosomal RNA", at positions 354 to 796 of the family's 1533-position model. The record is from RNAcentral.